This 110-nucleotide ribosomal RNA is filed under the name uncultured eukaryote. RNAcentral describes it as "partial small subunit ribosomal RNA". It matches the Rfam family "Eukaryotic small subunit ribosomal RNA", at positions 1676 to 1785 of the family's 1831-position model. The record is from RNAcentral.
UCGCUUCUACCGAUCGAAUGAUCCGGUGAAGUCUUCGGACUGCUGCUGUUCCUCGUUCGCGAGAAACGGUGGUGGGAAGUUGCCUAAACCUUAUCAUUUAGAGGAAGAAG